Molecule: long non-coding RNA, 296 nt
Organism: Cyprinus carpio carpio
Lineage: Eukaryota; Metazoa; Chordata; Actinopteri; Cypriniformes; Cyprinidae
Source: Ensembl
GGUGAGUCUAAUCUAAAGGCCUUUGCGAUGUUAAAUUGUGAACAUCUUGAGUUUUCAUUAAAGGGUGUGGCCAUGGCGCCAUGACAAAGUUCGAUGUCUCGCCAUGGGAAUAGAAGUUGUUGUAACUCAGGCAUAAGAUGUCCGAUCUUCCCCAAACUUCACAUGUUCGAAAAGAGUCUUGGCCUGAACACAUCUGAAGGUCAUUAUUCCACUAUAAUCAUAGCGCCACCUGCUGACAACAGAAAAUGACUUGUUUUACACUAACUUAAACAUGCAAUGUCCAAUCUGCACCAAAC